AUUGAACGCUGGCGGCAGGCCUAACACAUGCAAGUCGAACGAGUGGCGGACGGGUGAGUAAUGUCUGGGAAACUGCCCGAUGGAGGGGGAUAACUACUGGAAACGGUGGCUAAUACCGCAUACCAUCGGAUGUGCCCAGAUGGGAUUAGAUAGUAGGUGGGGUAAAGGCUCACCUAGGCGACGAUCCCUAGCUGGUCUGCGAGGAUGCACGGCCACACGGGAACUGAGACACGGUCCAGACUCCUACGGGAGGCAGCAGUGGGAAAUAUUGCACAAUGGGCGCAAGCCUGAUGCAGCCAUGCCGCGUGUAUGAAGAAGGCCUUCGGGUUGUAAAGUACUUUCAGCGGGGAGGCGGUACCCGCAGAAGAAGCACCGGCUAACUCCGUGCCAGCAGCCGCGGUAAUAC
Molecule: ribosomal RNA, 406 nt
Filed under: uncultured bacterium
Lineage: Bacteria
Description: partial 16S ribosomal RNA
Rfam family: Bacterial small subunit ribosomal RNA
Source: RNAcentral